This 524-nucleotide ribosomal RNA is filed under the name uncultured bacterium. RNAcentral describes it as "partial 16S ribosomal RNA". It matches the Rfam family "Bacterial small subunit ribosomal RNA", at positions 28 to 523 of the family's 1533-position model. The record is from RNAcentral.
GACGAACGCUGGCGGCGUGCCUAAUACAUGCAAGUCGAGCGCAGGAAGCUGACGGAACUCUUCGGAGGGAAGGCAGUGGAAUGAGCGGCGGACGGGUGAGUAACACGUAAGGAACCUGCCUCAAGGAUUGGGAUAACUCCGAGAAAUCGGAGCUAAUACCGGAUAGUUCAACGGACCGCAUGGUCCGCUGAUGAAAGGCGCUUCGGCGUCACCUUGAGAUGGCCUUGCGGUGCAUUAGCUAGUUGGUGGGGUAACGGCCUACCAAGGCGACAGUGCAUAGGAGGCCGGAGAGGGGGAUCGGCCACACUGGGACUGAGACACGGCCCAGACUCCUACGGGAGGAAGCAGUAGGGAAUCUUCCACAAUGGGCGAAAGUCUGAUGGAGCAACGCCGCGUGAGUGAUGAAGGUUUUCGGAUCGUAAAACUCUGUUGUAAGGGAAGAACACGUACGAGAGGGAAUGCUCGUACCUUGACGGUACCUUACGAGAAAGCCACGGCUAACUACGUGCCAGCCGCCGCAGUAA